Molecule: long non-coding RNA, 452 nt
Organism: Haplochromis burtoni (Burton's mouthbrooder)
Lineage: Eukaryota; Metazoa; Chordata; Actinopteri; Cichliformes; Cichlidae
Product: GTPase IMAP family member 8
Source: RefSeq, a predicted model, not a curated record
UGAACAACAGUCUGAAAGGGACUUUCUGCCAUGUUUUACAGGCAGUCGUGCUUCUGAAGACUAGUUUUUGUUCGCUUUGUUGUGAAUAUUUACAUAAAACCAUCCAAGUGUCUGUAUCCAGCACCGUCUGUGCAAAACUCCUUCGAUGUCAGAGGUUCAAACAUGAAAAACAAACAGUUUUCUCUGUCAUUGUUGUUUUUUCUUUUAACUCCACAGUCAGUGAGUUCUGCAGCUGAAUGACAGCAUGGCAGCAGCAUUUGGACCACAAGACACUUUUCCCAGACGUCGCAGGAAGAGCUUUGAUUUUGUGCCACCCAGCAUGUCUGAGCUCAGAGCUGUCCUGCUGGGGAACAGCUGGUCUGAGAGGAGCUCAGUGGGAAACUUUAUACUGAGAGAGAACAAGUUCAACCCUGAGGAAGAACUGGACCGAUGUGUGAGAGUCAGUGGAUACA